Molecule: ribosomal RNA, 997 nt
Filed under: uncultured organism
Description: bacterial SSU rRNA
Rfam family: Bacterial small subunit ribosomal RNA
Source: RNAcentral
GGGGGAUAUUGCACAAUGGGGGAAACCCUGAUGCAGCGACGCCGCGUGGAGGAAGAAGGUUUUCGGAUUGUAAACUCCUGUCGUUAGGGACGAUAAUGACGGUACCUAACAAGAAAGCACCGGCUAACUACGUGCCAGCAGCCGCGGUAAAACGUAGGGUGCAAGCGUUGUCCGGAAUUACUGGGUGUAAAGGGAGCGCAGGCGGGAAGACAAGUUGGAAGUGAAAACCAUGGGCUCAACCCAUGAAUUGCUUUCAAAACUGUUUUUCUUGAGUAGUGCAGAGGUAGAUGGAAUUCCCGGUGUAGCGGUAGAAUGCGUAGAUAUCGGGAGGAACACCAGUGGCGAAGGCGGUCUACUGGGCACCAACUGACGCUGAGGCUCGAAAGCAUGGGUAGCAAACAGGAUUAGAUACCCUGGUAGUCCAUGCCGUAAACGAUGAUUACUAGGUGUUGGGGGAUUGACCCCCUCAGUGCCGCAGUUAACACAAUAAGUAAUCCACCUGGGGAGUACGACCGCAAGGUUGAAACUCAAAGGAAUUGACGGGGGCCCGCACAAGCAGUGGAGUAUGUGGUUUAAUUCGAAGCAACGCGAAGAACCUUACCAGGUCUUGACAUCCGAUGCAUAGCACAGAGAUGUGUGAAAUCCUUCGGGACAUCGAGACAGGUGGUGCAUGGUUGUCGUCAGCUCGUGUCGUGAGAUGUUGGGUUAAGUCCCGCAACGAGCGCAACCCUUAUUGCCAGUUACUACGUUAAGAGGACUCUGGCGAGACUGCCGUUGACAAAACGGAGGAAGGUGGGGAUGACGUCAAAUCAUCAUGCCCUUUAUGACCUGGGCUACACACGUACUACAAUGGCGUUAAACAAAGAGAAGCAAGACCGCGAGGUGGAGCAAAACUCAAAAACAACGUCUCAGUUCAGAUUGCAGGCUGCAACUCGCCUGCAUGAAGUCGGAAUUGCUAGUAAUCGCGGAUCAGCAUGCCGCGGUGAAUACGUUCCCG